AACGCAUCUUGCGCUCUUUGGUAUUCCGAAGAGCAUGCCUGUUUGAGUGUCAUGAAACUCUCACCUCCAAUCUUUUUUAACUAGAAGGUUGGGGCGUGGACGUGAGUGCUGCUGGUGCCCUGGUUGCAUCGGCUCACUUGAAAUUCAUUAGCUGAAUCCUUUAAAGUAGGUUCUACUCGACGUGAUAAGAUCUCCGUCGAGGACAGUGCUUCGGCAUUGGCCAACGAUAAAGUUGAUACGCUUCUAAUUAGCGCAGACUUCGAGUGCUGGCAAUUUUGACAACUUGGCCUCAAAUCAGGUAGGACUACCCACUGAACUUAA
RNAcentral lists this unclassified non-coding RNA (321 nucleotides) under uncultured fungus. Its description in RNAcentral is "partial contains 5.8S ribosomal RNA, internal transcribed spacer 2, and large subunit ribosomal RNA". The stretch from base 1 to 52 matches the Rfam family "5.8S ribosomal RNA", at positions 103 to 154 of the family's 154-position model. RNAcentral also lists the same sequence under 1 other name. Lineage: Eukaryota; Fungi. The record is from RNAcentral.